UAUGAGAAUGUGUAUACAAAAGAGAA
Molecule: non-coding RNA, 26 nt
Filed under: Homo sapiens (human)
Lineage: Eukaryota; Metazoa; Chordata; Mammalia; Primates; Hominidae
Source: RNAcentral